RNAcentral lists this ribosomal RNA (370 nucleotides) under uncultured Lactobacillus sp. Its description in RNAcentral is "bacterial SSU rRNA". It matches the Rfam family "Bacterial small subunit ribosomal RNA", at positions 667 to 1035 of the family's 1533-position model. Lineage: Bacteria; Bacillati; Bacillota; Bacilli; Lactobacillales; Lactobacillaceae. The record is from RNAcentral.
CUCCAUGUGUAGCGGUGAAAUGCGUAGAUAUAUGGAAGAACACCAGUGGCGAAAGCGGCUCUCUGGUCUGUAACUGACGCUGAGGUUCGAAAGCGUGGGUAGCAAACAGGAUUAGAUACCCUGGUAGUCCACGCCGUAAACGAUGAGUGCUAAGUGUUGGAGGGUUUCCGCCCUUCAGUGCUGCAGCUAACGCAUUAAGCACUCCGCCUGGGGAGUACGGUCGCAAGACUGAAACUCAAAGGAAUUGACGGGGGCCCGCACAAGCGGUGGAGCAUGUGGUUUAAUUCGAAGCAACGCGAAGAGCCUUACCAGGUCUUGACAUCUUCUGACAAUUCCAGAGAUGGAACGUUCCCUUCGGGGACAGAAUGAC